AUCUUAUUCAAUGUUUUCAGCAAACAUGAGGAAUAUGACAGAAGUUAUAGUUAAUAUUUAAGGUAGCACUAACAUUUAUCAUAUAAAAUGUGAGAUCCAGAAACUAUGCUCGAUCAACUAUGAAGGUGGUGGAGAUGGUGGUGAUUAGAAUUGACAUGGCCAUUGUGCAGCUGAUGGUGGUGAUUGUGGUGGUGGUGAUAGUCCAUGCCACCGCCAUUUUCUGAAGCUUUUGCCAUUUCUGUCCACAUUCCUCUUGGUGGGUCUCUUGUUAGCUCUAACAAUGAGUCCCUCACAUAAUCUGCUUGAACCAUUUCGCUGUCCUUCUUCUCUACUUUGAAAACAUUUGAGAUAAGGCCUCUGAAGCUGGUUACAUUGGCAUUGGUAACUUCUAAGCCAAGAGAAUCCAAAGCCUCCAUCAACCUCACAAACCCUCCAGGCUUGUGCUCACAAAAAACCUUUACAAAGAACUCAUUUCCAUCUAUUUGAGCCACUUCCACUUGGACCUCCAUCUGUUGUCCCUUGUCAUGAGAAAUUUCUGAUUUGUGAUUUAGUUUGGAGCAGGUAACUUCUGAUGCCCCCACAUCAAACCCAUUCACGAAACCUCCAUUUUGAUUCAGAAUUUCUGGUGCGAUGUUGUUGUUGUUGUUGUGGCUACCACCAUUUUUAGCACCUUCAUCAUCUGAAUGCUCUUCAAGCUCAUCUUGUAGUUCUUUGGCUUGCUUCUGCAACUCCUUCACAAAUUCAAUUGCAUCUCCAAGUAUGGCAGCCUUAUUCAGGUUUGAAAUUUUGGGAACCAAAGCUCGGAGAUCAUAGAGUCUUCCAUUAAGCCUUUUCCUUCUCCUCCUCUCAGCAUGAAGAUUUUUAGCUUGAGGCCCUCUUCCUGUCCUCCUCCUAUACUUGGCAUCGUUCUCAUCAUCAUUCUGAUCACUGCAAUCCGAGAUUGAAUCCGAUCUCCCAUUCUCCUGUUUUACCGAGUCCUUAUCAUUCGCUUGUUGCUCCUUGUUUGCAGAGGAUUCCAUAAACUUCAUGUGCAUGCCUUCUGUAUUGUUCAUCAUCAUGGAUUUCUGCAAUGCAUCCAUAUCUUGCAGCCCAUUUGCCGCACCUUCAAAAAAUAUGUCAUUUUUAUUCUUGUUUUCCUGAUCAUUGUAAUUGAAUUGCUGUAAGAAGUUCAUUGGAGGACUAAAUAGAUGGAUUCGAUCAGCAGAGAUAUCAUAUGGCAGAUUCAAAUUCUCUAACGCUGUUGCUGGGGAAACUGGAGCCUGGAAUUGAUUCAUCUGAUGAUCCUUUUUUUCAGUAUCAUCAGCUAGAAAUGGUUUCGAUUGUUGUUCGUUUAUCAUGUUGACAUUAACUGCGAAACCUGAAUCCAUGUUGGUUGAGUUUAUUAUGGCUUCUUGUUCCAUUAAUAUGCAGCAGUGAGAUGUUACAAAAUUUAUGACAUUUUGAUCUUCAGAUACUUGUUUAGUAACAAACAGCUCUA
Molecule: unclassified non-coding RNA, 1477 nt
Filed under: Hevea brasiliensis (rubber tree)
Lineage: Eukaryota; Viridiplantae; Streptophyta; Magnoliopsida; Malpighiales; Euphorbiaceae
Source: RNAcentral